UACAGAGGGUGCAAGCGUUGUUCGGAAUUAUUGGGCGUAAAGCGCGUGUAGGCGGCUUUGCAAGUCGGGUGUGAAAGCCCUCAGCUCAACUGAGGAAGUGCGCCCGAAACUGCAGAGCUUGAGUGCCGGAGAGGGUGGCGGAAUUCCCGGUGUAGAGGUGAAAUUCGUAGAUAUCGGGAGGAACACCAGUGGCGAAGGCGGCGACCUGGGCCAAUACUGACGCUGAGGUGCGAAAGCGUGGGGAGCAAACAGG
RNAcentral lists this ribosomal RNA (253 nucleotides) under uncultured bacterium. RNAcentral describes it as "partial 16S ribosomal RNA". It matches the Rfam family "Bacterial small subunit ribosomal RNA", at positions 524 to 776 of the family's 1533-position model. The record is from RNAcentral.